UAUGCGUUCACACUAUGUGUUCA
RNAcentral lists this non-coding RNA (23 nucleotides) under Arabidopsis thaliana (thale cress). Lineage: Eukaryota; Viridiplantae; Streptophyta; Magnoliopsida; Brassicales; Brassicaceae. The record is from RNAcentral.